RNAcentral lists this transfer RNA (73 nucleotides) under Dictyocaulus viviparus (bovine lungworm). It matches the Rfam family "tRNA". Rfam says of the family: Transfer RNA (tRNA) molecules are approximately 80 nucleotides in length. Lineage: Eukaryota; Metazoa; Nematoda; Chromadorea; Rhabditida; Metastrongylidae. The record is from Rfam by way of RNAcentral.
GCCUCAGUAGUGUAAUGAAUAAACACGAUAGACCAGAUAUCUUUAGGUUCGGGUUCGAGUCCCGCCUAUGGUU